This 74-nucleotide transfer RNA is filed under the name Rhizoctonia solani. Its description in RNAcentral is "tRNA-Val". Lineage: Eukaryota; Fungi; Basidiomycota; Agaricomycetes; Cantharellales; Ceratobasidiaceae. RNAcentral also lists the same sequence under 1 other name. The record is from RNAcentral.
GGAGCGAUGGUGUAGUUGGUUAUCACGUCUGUCUAACACACAGACGGUCCUCAGUUCGAGUCUGGGUCGCUUCA